Molecule: ribosomal RNA, 301 nt
Filed under: uncultured bacterium
Lineage: Bacteria
Description: partial 16S ribosomal RNA
Rfam family: Bacterial small subunit ribosomal RNA
Source: RNAcentral
CAGCCGCCGCGGUAACACGAAGGGUGCAAGCGUUACUCGGAAUUACUGGGCGUAAAGCGUGCGUAGGUGGUUGUUUAAGUCUGCUGUGAAAGCCCUGGGCUCAACCUGGGAAUUGCAGUGGAUACUGGGCGACUAGAGUAAGGUAGAGGAUAGUGGAAUUUCCGGUGUAGCAGUGAAAUGCGUAGAGAUCGGAAGGAACAUCUGUGGCGAAGGCGACUAUCUGGGCCAUUACUGACACUGAGGCACGAAAGCGUGGGGAGCAAACAGGAUUAGAUACCCGGGUAGUCCCUGUCUCUUAUAC